GCUACGGGGGGCAGCAGUAGGGAAUCUUCCACAAUGGGCGAAAGCCUGAUGGAGCAACGCCGCGUGGGUGAAGAAGGUCUUCGGAUCGUAAAACCCUGUUGUUAGAGAAGAAAGUGCGUGAGAGUAACUGUUCACGUUUCGACGGUAUCUAACAAGAAAGCCACGGCUAACUACGUGCCAGCAGCCGCGGUCAUACGUAGGUGGCAAGCGUUAUCCGUAUUUAUUGGGCGUAAAGAGAACGCAGAUGGUCUUUUAAGUCUGAUGUGAAAGGCUUCGGCUUAACCGGAGUAGUGCAUUGGAAACUGGGAGACGUGAGUGCAGAAGAGGAGAGUGGAACUCCAUGUGGAGCGGUGAAAUGCGGAGAGAUAUGGCAGAACACCAGUGGCGAAAGCGGCUCUCUGGUCUGUAACUGACGCUGAGGUUCGAAAGCGUGGGUAGCAAACAGGAUUAGAUACCCCAGUAGUC
Molecule: ribosomal RNA, 465 nt
Filed under: uncultured bacterium
Lineage: Bacteria
Description: partial 16S ribosomal RNA
Rfam family: Bacterial small subunit ribosomal RNA
Source: RNAcentral